CCUACGGGUGGCAGCAGUGGGGAAUAUUUCACAAUUUUUUAAACCCUUAUUCCUCUCCUCCUCGUUAUUGAAGAAGUAUCUCGGUAUGUAAAGCUCUAUCAGCAGGGAAGAAAAUGACGGUACCUGACUAAGAAGCCCCGGCUAACUACGUGCCAGCAGCCGCGGUAAUACGUAGGGGGCAAGCGUUAUCCGGAUUUACUGGGUGUAAAGGGAGCGUAGACGGCGCUGCAAGUCCGGAGUGAAAGCCCAUGGCUUAACCAUGGUACUGCUCUGGAAACUGUGGAGCUUGAGUGCGGGAGGGGCAGGCGGAAUUCCUAGUGUAGCGGUGAAAUGCGUAGAUAUUAGGAGGAACACCGGCGGCGAAGGCGGCCUGCUGGACCGUAACUGACGUUGAGGCUCGAAAGCGUGGGGAGCAAACAGGAUUAGAUACCCCAGUAGUC
This 440-nucleotide ribosomal RNA is filed under the name uncultured bacterium. RNAcentral's name for it is "partial 16S ribosomal RNA". It matches the Rfam family "Bacterial small subunit ribosomal RNA", at positions 338 to 795 of the family's 1533-position model. The record is from RNAcentral.